GUCCCCAUCGUCUAGAGGCCUAGGACAUCGCCCUUUCACGGCGGUAACGGGGGUUCGAAUCCCCCUGGGGACGCC
Molecule: transfer RNA, 75 nt
Filed under: Legionella pneumophila
Lineage: Bacteria; Pseudomonadati; Pseudomonadota; Gammaproteobacteria; Legionellales; Legionellaceae
Description: tRNA-Glu
Rfam family: tRNA
About the family: Transfer RNA (tRNA) molecules are approximately 80 nucleotides in length.
Source: RNAcentral